RNAcentral lists this long non-coding RNA (1124 nucleotides) under Heterocephalus glaber (naked mole-rat). RNAcentral's name for it is "lncRNA (ENSHGLG00100048782.1)". Lineage: Eukaryota; Metazoa; Chordata; Mammalia; Rodentia; Bathyergidae. The record is from RNAcentral.
AACAAUUUAUUUUUUAAAGACAUUUUUUCCCAAGUUGUCAAAUUUGGGGACAUGAUUACAACAUUCGUUUUAAUCUUUUUCAUGUGAUAUCUAGUCUUGAUAUUGAUCACUUGUGUUAUUCUCUCUCUUUUUUUUUUGUUUGGCCUGGUUAGAGAUAUAUGCACUUUACUAGUGCUUUUCAAAGGAGCAGAUUGAAACUUCAUUUUUUUGUGUUAUUUUUCUGUACUUAAUUUCAUUAUUUUCUGCUUUUCUUUUUCUUUUUUUUUUUGGUGCUGGGAAUCAAACUUGGAACCUUGUGCUUGCAUGGCAGGUGGCAGUACCACUGAGCUAAAUCCCCAGCUUCUUCUGCUUUUCUGUUUAUGAUUUCUUUCAAUUUAUGCUUUCUCUUUAUGACUCCAUUUAAUCUUCACUAUUGUUUUAUUAUUUAUAUUUCUUUAAAAUUUUUAGUGAUAGUGAUGUUUCACAAUAUGCAUCCUUAAUUAAAAAUUCUACCUCCAGGGCCGGGGAUUUAGCUCAGUGGUUUUGCUGCCUGCUGCACAACCGCAAGGACCAGAGUAUCGCCCAGCAGAACUGAAUCAGCGUGGUUGGGUGAGGAAGACCCAUCUGAGGGUUUGAAGCACAGUAGGUCUCUGCAAAUAUUUAUUAAAUGAAUGCACAUGUAUUCAAACCCAGGAGAUGGAGGAGAAAGAUCAGAGGGAGGAUUUGAUAAACAGAAGGCUUCUAAGAAACAGCUUCCAACUCAAAUCAGUCCUUAAAAAUUUUUUAUUUUAUUGUACUAAGAACACUUAACAUGAGAUCUACCCUCUUAACAAAUUUUAAAGUGAAUUUCAAAUUAUUAAAUCGAAAGAUGAUUAAAAAAACAGUUGAAAAGGCACUCAAUAUUCACUCGCUACCUUGGAAACGUGUUAAUUAUCAUUAUCAUAUCAUGUGACUGCUUCGGAUUAAGCGUCUGAGCUGGGCUAAGCACGGAGCUGAGAGCUUUGCACCUAUUCGCUUGUCUGGGCCUCCCGGGAGCCUGGCGUGCAGGUUCUGCCCCCUCCCUCGUCAGAGUGGAGACAAUGGAGGCUGCAGAAGCCUUUCUCCCACUACCACCCUGCCAGGUGCUGCCUCGGCUGAGCAAUGGG